GAAGGCAGGUUACUAAGCAACAACUGACGCUGAUGGACGAAAGCGUGGGGAGCGAACAGGAUUAGAUACCCUGGUAGUCCACGCCGUAAACGAUGCUAACUCGUUUUUGGGUUUUCGGAUUCAGAGACUAAGCGAAAGUGAUAAGUUAGCCACCUGGGGAGUACGUUCGCAAGAAUGAAACUCAAAGGAAUUGACGGGGGCCCGCACAAGCGGUGGAUUAUGUGGUUUAAUUCGAUGAUACGCGAGGAACCUUACCAAGGCUUAAAUGGGAAAUGACAGGUUUAGAAAUAGACUUUUCUUCGGACAUUUUUCAAGGUGCUGCAUGGUUGUCGUCAGCUCGUGCCGUGAGGUGUUAGGUUAAGUCCUGCAACGAGCGCAACCCCUGUCACUAGUUGCCAUCAUUAAGUUGGGGACUCUAGUGAGACUGCCUACGCAAGUAGAGAGGAAGGUGGGGAUGACGUCAAAUCAUCACGGCCCUUACGCCUUGGGCCACACACGUAAUACAAUGGCCGGUACAGAGGGCAGCUACACAGCGAUGUGAUGCAAAUCUCGAAAGCCGGUCUCAGUUCGGAUUGGAGUCUGCAACUCGACUCUAUGAAGCUGGAAUCGCUAGUAAUCGCGCAUCAGCCAUGGCGCGGUGAAUACGUUCCCGGGCCUUGUACACACCGCCCGUCAAGCCAUGGAAGUCUGGGGUACCUGAAGUCGGUGACC
RNAcentral lists this ribosomal RNA (711 nucleotides) under Chryseobacterium rhizoplanae. Its description in RNAcentral is "bacterial SSU rRNA". It matches the Rfam family "Bacterial small subunit ribosomal RNA", at positions 717 to 1435 of the family's 1533-position model. Lineage: Bacteria; Pseudomonadati; Bacteroidota; Flavobacteriia; Flavobacteriales; Weeksellaceae. The record is from RNAcentral.